GCUGGGCGUGGUGGCUCACGCCUGUAAUCCCAACUACUCGGGAGGCUGAGGUAGGAGGAUUGCUUGAACCCGGGAGGCGGAGGUUACAGUGAGCUGAGAUCGCACCACUGCACUCCAGCCUGGGUGACAGGGCGAGAAUCUGCCUCAA
Molecule: unclassified non-coding RNA, 148 nt
Organism: Pongo abelii (Sumatran orangutan)
Lineage: Eukaryota; Metazoa; Chordata; Mammalia; Primates; Hominidae
Rfam family: Metazoan signal recognition particle RNA
About the family: The signal recognition particle (SRP) is a universally conserved ribonucleoprotein. It is involved in the co-translational targeting of proteins to membranes.
Source: Ensembl